RNAcentral lists this ribosomal RNA (253 nucleotides) under uncultured bacterium. Its description in RNAcentral is "partial 16S ribosomal RNA". It matches the Rfam family "Bacterial small subunit ribosomal RNA", at positions 524 to 776 of the family's 1533-position model. The record is from RNAcentral.
UACGGAGGGUGCGAGCGUUAAUCGGAAUAACUGGGCGUAAAGGGCACGCAGGUGGGACUUUAAGUGAGAUGUGAAAUCCCCGGGCUUAACCUGGGAAUGGCAUUUCAGACUGGGAAUCUAGAGUACUUUAGGGAGGGGUAGAAUUCCACGUGUAGCGGUGAAAUGCGUAGAGAUGUGGAGGAAUACCGAAGGCGAAGGCAGCCCCUUGGGAAUGUACUGACGCUCAGGUGCGAAAGCGUGGGGAGCAAACAGG